AGAAUCAACGCUGGCGGCGUGCCUAACACAUGCAAGUCGAACGAGAAAGUGGAGCAAUCCAUGAGUAAAGUGGCGACCGGGUGAGUAACACGUGGCUAACCUACCCUCGAGUGGGGAAUAACUCCGGGAAACCGGAGCUAAUACCGCAUAACAUCUUCGGAGCGCAAGCUCUGCUGAUCAAAGGAGCAAUUCGCUUGAGGAGGGAGUCGCGGCUGAUUAGCUAGUUGGCGGGGUAAUGGCCCACCAAGGCUUAGAUCGGUAGCCGGCCUGAGAGGGCGCACAGCCACACUGGAACUGAAACACGGUCCAGACUCCUACGGGAGGCAGCAGUGGGGAAUUUUGCGCAAUGGGGGAAACCCUGACGCAGCAACGCCGCGUGGAGGAUGAAGUCCCUUGGGAUGUAAACUCCUUUCGACCGGGAAGAUACUGACGGUACCGGUGGAAGAAGCACCGGCUAACUCUGCGCCAGCAGCCGC
RNAcentral lists this ribosomal RNA (476 nucleotides) under uncultured bacterium. Its description in RNAcentral is "SSU rRNA". It matches the Rfam family "Bacterial small subunit ribosomal RNA", at positions 26 to 518 of the family's 1533-position model. The record is from RNAcentral.